GACGAACGCUGGCGGCGUGCUUAACACAUGCAAGUCGAACGAUGAAGAAAAGAAUCGAAGCUUCGGCAGAAAUUCAUUUCGGAUUAGUGGCAGACGGGUGAGUAACGCGUUAUCAACCUACCUCUUACAAAGGGAUAGCCUCGGUAAACCGGGAUUAAUACCAUAUAACAUUGCGACGAAGCAUUUCGAUGCAAUCAAAGCUACGGCGGUAAGAGAUGCGCUCGCGUCCCAUUAACCGGAGGGUGAGGUAACGGCUCACCAUAGUGACGAUGGGUAACCGGGAUGAGAGGGAGAACGGUCACACUGGAACUGAGACACGGUCCAGAAUCCUACGGGAGGCAGCAGUGGGGAAUACAGCCCAAUGGAGGGAACUAAGAUGGCGCGACGCCGCGUGAGUGAUGAAGGAAUUCGUUACGUAAAACUCUGUUAUAUGGGAAGAAACGGACUGUACCAUAGGAGAAAGCUCCGGCUAAAUACGUG
RNAcentral lists this ribosomal RNA (480 nucleotides) under uncultured bacterium. RNAcentral's name for it is "partial 16S ribosomal RNA". It matches the Rfam family "Bacterial small subunit ribosomal RNA", at positions 28 to 507 of the family's 1533-position model. The record is from RNAcentral.